CGUAACGGGGGCGGCUACGACUGUGGGGACGCACGGAUCCGAACAGCUGACAGAUCCGGCCGCGCGCCUUGCCCCGCCCCCCCGGCAGCGCCGGAGCCCCAGACGGAGCCUUGGACUCGUGCCCUCCGUGCGGCCUGGAGUCUGUUCCUCAGUCUGCACCUGCGCUUUCGGCUGUCCCCGGCCUGGUUGUUUCAGGUGUCUUGAGGGCAUUUCUUCAGAAAGGGCUUUCCUAGGACUCGUCACCUCUUCCUAGGACUCGUCACCUCUUCCUAGGACUCGUCACCUCUGGGAAUGGGCAUUGAGGCUAGAUGGGCGGCACGUUUGUAGGCAUGCUCGAAGACCCAGCGGAUAGACAAAGCUGUGGCAUAUGGGUCUUACCCCAUCAUGAGGAAAGCCGGCUGGAAAUCGGGUCCAUUUCAAGGUGCUAUAUCUCAGAACAGCACUUGUGACAAAGAAGCCAUUGCAGUAGCCACUGCCAAGACUUGAGUGUAGCCAUGACUGAACCCCACAGGGUCCAGUUCACCUCUCUCCCAGGCCCUCUGAAUCCUACAUUUCUGAAGAAACCUCGAAAAGAGGAAAUUGGGGGAGCAGAGCAGCACCAGGACUCUGAACCAGCUGCAGCAGCUGUUCGAAUCACACUUACCCUCUUUGAACCAGAUCAUAAGCGCUGUCCAGAGUUCUUCUACCCAGAGCUAGUGAAGAAUACACGUGGAAAAGUGAAAGGUCUUCAAGUUGGAGACAAGAAGAAAGAUGUCUUGGACCCUUUCAAUGAUGAAGAAAAGGAAAGGCAUAAGGUAGAAGCUCUUGCCCGGAAAUUUGAAGAAAAAUAUGGUGGAAAAAAACGUAGGAAAGACAGAAUACAGGAUUUAAUUGACAUGGGUUAUGGGUAUGAUGAAUCCGAUUCCUUCAUCGAUAACUCUGAAGCAUAUGAUGAGCUUGUUCCUGCUUCUCUGACUACAAAAUAUGGAGGAUUUUAUAUUAACUCGGGAACACUGCAGUUCAGACAAGCAUCAGAAUCUGAGGAUGACUUCAUUAAAGAAAAGAAGAAGAAAUCUCCUAAGAAGCGGAAGUUGAAAGAAGGUGGUGAGAAGAUAAAGAAGAAGAAAAAAGAUGACUCUUAUGACAAGGAGAAGAAAUCGAAAAAGUCCAAGUUUCCCAAAGCCGGCUUCACAGCACUGAAUGCCAGUAAGGAAAAGAAGAAAAAGAAAUAUUCUGGAGCUCUAAGUGUUAAGGAAAUGUUAAAGAAAUUUCAGAAGGAGAAAGAGGCCCAGAAGAAGAGGGAUGAGGAACAUAAGCCAAUAUCAGUGUCACCUGCUGAAACUCAGAGUACACGGGAAGUGGAAAGCAUGCCAGAUCCCUUGCUCUCGUUCUUUGGCUCUGCUUCUGACAAUGACCUGCUUCAGGCAGCCACUGCCAUGGACUCACUGACUGAUCUGGACUUAGAACAGCUCCUCAGCGAGUCUCCAGAAGGAAGUCCAUUUCAUGAUGUGGAUGAUGAAAGUGAUUCUCUUGGGGUGGGAUUGGACCAAGAAUUCAAACAACCCCCUUCUUUGCCAGAAGGCUUGCCAGUGUCCCUCGAAAAGCGUAUUAAGGAACUGGCUCAGAUAUUACUGUCUAAUGUGAAUCAGGCUGCCAGAGCUGCAGAGGGAGAGAGCAAACAGAGAUUCUUCACCCAGGAUAUUAAUGGCAUCCUGCUAGACAUAGAGGUGCAGUCUCGGGAGCUGAAUAGCCAGAUCCGUUCUGGGGUGUAUGCCUAUCUUGCUUCAUUCCUGCCCUGCAGCAAGGAUACCCUGGUCAAACGUGCUCGCAGACUUCAUCUCUACGAGCAGGGAGGGCGUCUGAAAGAACCUCUGCAGAAACUUAAGGAAGCUAUUGGCAGAGCAAUGCCAGAGCAGAUGGCCAAAUACCAAGAAGAGUGCCAGGCACAUACGCAAGCAAAGUUUGCUAAGAUGCUGGAGGAAGAGAAAGACAAGGAUCAGAGAGAACGUAUUUGUUCUGAUGAGGAGGAAGAUGAAGAGAAAGGGGGUAAACGCAUCAUGGGACCCAGGAAGAAAUUCCACUGGAAUGAUGAAAUCAGGGAGUUGCUCUGCCAUGUGGUAAAGAUGAAACUGGAUGGCUAUGAGUUGGAGAGGAACAAGGCCCAGUCCUGGGAAGAUUAUGUGAAAGCUUUUCUGGAUGCUGAAGUGAAACCUCUCUGGCCCAAGGGCUGGAUGCAGGCCAGGACUCUAUUUAAGGAAAGUAGGCGAGGACAUGGACACCUGACUUCAAUCUUGGCCAAGAAGAAAGUCAUGGCUGCUGCCAAGGUCAAAGUGAAGGAUUCUUCCACCAAACCUGAUAAAAAGGUAUCAGUUUCAUCGGGACAAUCCAGUGGCUCCAUUACUUUGUCUUCAGAGCAGCAUCAGGGAAUGGGUAUGAGCAUUGGUGCUCCAGUCAGGGAGUUGUCAUCUCUGGGUACUUCUCCAUCCAGCAAUAUUGCUAAUCCUGCUUCUUUUAACCUGGAGGACUCACUGGAUGAGGACUUAAUUCAUAAUCCAGCCUCUUCAUUGGAAGCAGUGUCUAAGGAACUGGCUGCAUUAAACAGCAGAACAAGUGGAAGUCCUGAAUUCAUUCUUCAUGCACCCCCAAAGACUCCUACAGACAAAAUAACAGGUCUUACAAGUUCUGAGGAAAAAAGAAAUUUUCCUAAGUCCAAUUCUUCUGCUCCAUCACCUGCUAGCUCACUACAGUCACCUCUCAAUUUCUUGGCUGAACAGGCACUGGCACUGGGGCAGUCUUCUCAGGAGAAAAAACCAGAUAAUUGUAGUUACAAAGAGCUCUCUUGCCAGGCUUCUCCCAGUAAAACCUUGUCCGAAGCACACCAGUCUAAACUUAAGCACCAUAAUUUGCCACGGACAUCUCAUGGAUCACAAACAUCACCUCUGGUGCCCACUCCCCAAGUUAAAGUUUUUCACUCAAGUAGUCAGCAGCAGAAAAGCUUCACACCUCCAGCUCCAUUUGUCAAUAAGCUCCAGAGCCCAAAGGCUGCCUCCCCUCUGUCCCAACGAUCCCUUCUUCAACAGGUCAAGACUUCGACCAAAGCUCCAAGCUUCCACUCUUCAGCACCUCCUUCUUCGGGUAGCAACCCAUCUUCUAGUAAUACUCAUAAGAGCCCUGGCUCCUCUACAACUUCUUUGGGUUAUACAGGGAAGCAUUCAUCCAGUUCUUCAGGACAAUCAUACAAGUCUCCCUUUGUUGCUGGCUCUAUCUCUAAACAUGGGGUUUCUUCUAGCAGUUCUUCAUCUGGAGCAUCUUCAGUUCAGAGCUCUGCAUCUGGAAGCUCACUCUCUGGUAUACAGGCUUCCUCUUCUAGCCAGCCUUCCAGCCGUCCAGUACAAAGUUCUACAUUGAAGAAACCACCAGUUUCCCAAAAGCUGACUUUAGUGGCACCUCCUGGUGGCCCAAAUGGAGAUUCUAGUGGUGGGACACAGGGGGUGGCCAAAUUAUUGACCUCUUCCCUUAAGCCAGCCGUGGUUAGUAGUGCAACAUCAUCUACCUCCUUGCCGAAAGGAACAAGUGGAGCUGUACUGCUAACCAGCUCCUCUUCCUUAAGUGUACUGUCACCAUCCUAUAAGUCCAGUAGUUCUAAACUGUCCGGAGGCCUGAACUCAACACCACUGGGGAUUUUAUCUCCUCUCCACACUUUUCCUCUCCAUGUGAUCUCCUUUAGUGCAGACUCGUCUCCCAAAGCAGGAGUCUCCAAGGAUGCCAUUGUUACAGGCCCUGCCCCUGGAACUUUCCACCAUGGCCUAAGUCACAGUCUUCUGGCUGGCUUGCACUCCAGCCCGCACCAUGCAGCGCCUCUCCCACACUCUGCCUUGUCUACCCAUAUUCCGCAGAGUUUGCCAGUAGAACAGAAGGGGAGGCAGUGCACUAUCCCCAUAGGGGCCAGUAAGGUCAUGGCAAAUCUCCUAAGGCCUGUCUGCAAAUACCAUCUAUACUUCAUCUGUUAAGAGCUUUCUGUGCCUAGGUUUAAUAAGAGGUGACAUUCCUAAUGACUCUUUAUCCUCUUCCUGAUCCCUUAAGAUGCUUCUCAGCUUCAUGGGAAAGGGACCAAUGUGCAACAGCGGAAAUUGUGACAUCUGCAGAAGAAAAGCUAAUUUAGAACAAGGCACAACCUGAAUGAGUAGGUCUUGAAGACUGGAUAUUGACUGUAUUCUUCUUUCUGCCAACUGUGUUUCUUCUAGCAGCUGGAGAAAGAGUGAGCUCUGAGUUUCUUGGCACUUCUAACAUGCCUCGGAGUUAGUGGGAGCUUCGUGCUCUUUUAGGGAUGCUUAUGGUGCUCUGUGCUUCACAACCAUGUCAUGUGACAGUGAUUGAAGUGGCAGAUACUAAAAAGGAGAAAAUGCUGGACUUGGGGUAUGAGAGUAUAUGUGUGUAAUGACUCCAUUAAGGUGGCAGAUCAUUUUUUAUCUAUAUUUUAAAUCUGCCAAGAACCUCUGUAUACAGUUAACCAUACCUCAUGACCGUCCACAAAAUGGUGGUUUGUUCCAGCUACUGUAGGAUCACUGCCUCUGGAUUGGGACAGUUAUGGAUGGUAUCCUCAUUUUUAAAUUGUAUUCUCAACAAGAAGAAACCCAUGCUGGACCAUAAUGGGAGGAAAUUUAGCUUUGUCUCUUUGUGACUAUAUAAAGAAGAUCUGAUACGCUCAUUGUGCAAAGAGAGAUGGAGGGAAGGGGUCAAUUUCCCUUCUGAACAUGAGAAUGAAGCUCUUUAUAGAAAAGACCUCUGCAGAUUGCAUUGGAACAAUUGUAAUAGGAUUUUCAAAAUUAUUUUUUUGGCUCAAUUUACAUUAUUACCAUUAAAUGCAUUGGAUAGAAUGGGACUGUUCUUCACAUGUCACCUGUAUAGGAAGACAUAAUUCCAGUGCCUUUAUGGUGGAGCAAAAUUUAAUAAUAACACAUCCAUUUUAGCCCUCUACCUGCUCCUGAAAAGAGAUUUUUUUAAAAAAAAAAUUCUGUAUUUAAGACAUAUCCGUUUAUAUUUAAUUGAGCUUUUCAUGAUUGCACAUUGAAAGCUGCACUGUCCUGACUUGAAGGUGAUUUGGUUCCUGAAAGCUUGGUUCCAAAUCCAGGAAGAGCACCAGUUCUUUCAGCAUAUAUAUAUAUAUAUAUGGGUUCUAGGGCCCAGAAGCCAUUCUUGAUCAGAAUUUUCAUCUCUGUGGGUAAACGUGAGUUCAGAGUCACUGAUAUACAUUCCAUUUUUUUUUGUUCCUAGAAAUCAGCAGUCAUAGAACUUCAAUAAAAGGCUUCGUUAGUGUUCAUUUAAUGGACACAGGCUUCAAAAUCCUGGAGACUCUCCAGGUAAUUGAUUGGACUAUGCAUUAACUUUAAGGGUAAUAUGCAGUUAGGUUUGGAGAGUCAAUCAAAGGCCAGAUGGUUAGGCACCAGCUAGAACUGGGUAUAUAGCUAGAAGAGCAGUUCCCAAAUUGCCAACCUGUUCACACUUAAUUACUAUCUGUUUUGCAAGAAUUUUAAAAGUGCUUUCUUAUUCCUGUGAAAUUUGUGCUACAAGGUAUGUUUGAACUGGCUACUCAGACUGAGUUACAAGUCAGAUAAGUUCAGUGUGAACAGCAUUAUCUGUGGCACUGAAAUUGAUUGUACACAUUUUGUGAAAACACUAAGUUGUUUCCAGGUUUCCUUUAUUUAGAUUCAUUCUUAAAGCUUCCAAAUUACAGUGUACAAACUAUCAAUAAUUCAUCCUUUGUUCUGGGAAAGGCUUGAGGGCCUUCCCAAAUUUGCAUUUAGGAACAACAGACCUUCCCUCAGCUGCACUGGUAGGCCUCUGCUCAUACUUUUAUUUUAUUUGCUUUGGUCAAACCCAAGACACCUUUCAAAUUCAAGCUAAGCGACUCCUUAAGAUCACUUUAUUAUAUUUUUUUUAAUUGAAACUUGUAUUUCCAGUUUGUUUACAGAAUAUUCCUAGAUAGUAGCAAAAGAGCCAAAGAUGAGAUUUGUAUUGCUGAGCUCAGAACAGGGCAGUUAUCAGUAGACUCUGAGGAAAUGGGAUUCUCCAGAAUUCCCUUCCCAUGAGCUCUCCCAGGUACCAGUUCCACUCCCUCUCUUUGCUUUCCUGCCAGUGCUCCCUCUGUACCACAUACCAUUGAGUUUGUAGCUGGAGCAGAAUACCCUCAUUUUAGGAAUCUAGUGAUGCCUCUUGCCUCAGGGAAAUGUUUCUUUGAUGGGGAUUCUGUGGGAUUUCUUUUUCUUGUUUAUGCUUUACUUGUGGUAAUGAACGAGUGAAUGAAUUAAACAGAGCCAUGGCAAGGCAGAGCUACAGAUUGACACUGUAGCAGAAGGAUGGAAAAUGGAUGGAACAUCCCAGGCCAUGUGUCUUGGGUGUAGCAGCUGUAGAUGUUUCCUUUGGUGAGGGGAGUCUCUGAGCACUUACUGGGUAUGGCAGUUUCUUUAGUGUAAAAGGGGCUGCAGCUUUUGUGCAGGGACUGUUGGUAUUUGGGGUGGUGGGGAAAUUGUUAAUCUUGUAUAAAGCAACUCAAUAAAUUGUUUCAAAGUUUCCAAAA
This is an RNA transcript of Sarcophilus harrisii (Tasmanian devil), 6556 nucleotides long. It is a transcript of the gene named ubinuclein 1, with no coding region annotated. The record is from RefSeq and is a predicted model, not a curated record. Lineage: Eukaryota; Metazoa; Chordata; Mammalia; Dasyuromorphia; Dasyuridae. The transcript is spliced from 21 exons.